This 253-nucleotide ribosomal RNA is filed under the name uncultured bacterium. RNAcentral describes it as "partial 16S ribosomal RNA". It matches the Rfam family "Bacterial small subunit ribosomal RNA", at positions 524 to 776 of the family's 1533-position model. The record is from RNAcentral.
UACGUAGGGGGCAAGCGUUGUCCGGAUUUAUUGGGCGUAAAGAGCGUGUAGGCGGCCAGACAGGUCCGUUGUGAAAACUCGAGGCUCAACCUCGAGAUGUCGAUGGAAACCGUCUGGCUAGAGUCCGGAAGAGGAGUGUGGAAUUCCUGGUGUAGCGGUGAAAUGCGUAGAUAUCAGGAGGAAUACCGAUGGCGAAGGCAGGUCUCUGGGCUGACACUGACGCUCAUGCACGAAAGCGUGGGGAGCAAACAGG